CGCACCUUGCGCCCCUUGGCAUUCCGAGGGGCACGCCUGUUCGAGUGUCGUGAACUCCUCCACCCUCUACCUUUUUCGAAAGGCAUUGGGCUGGGAUUUGGGAGCUUGCGGGUCCCUGGCCGAUCCGCUCUCCUUGAAUGCAUUAGCGAAGCCCUUGCGGCCUUGGUGUGAUAAACAUCUACUCCUUGGCUUAGCGGACCUUUGGGGCAAUCGCUUCUAACCGUCCCUCGUGGACAAUCACUAUCAACUUGACCUCGAAUCAGGCGGGACUACCCGCUGAACUUAA
Molecule: unclassified non-coding RNA, 286 nt
Filed under: Peniophora sp.
Lineage: Eukaryota; Fungi; Basidiomycota; Agaricomycetes; Russulales; Peniophoraceae
Description: partial contains 5.8S ribosomal RNA, internal transcribed spacer 2, and large subunit ribosomal RNA
Source: RNAcentral